UGCACCUGGUCCGCGGUAAUCCUGGAAACAGUUUUAGAGGAGAUGCGUUAGGUUCGGGCUUAAAAAUAAUAAUGAGUCACCUAGGAAGCCAAGGAGAAAGGAUAUCUAGAUCAAGGCGGGGGAGGGAGGAAGGGGUAUGGGAAGAUGAGAAGAGGAAGGCUUAGCACCCUCGCAGACAACAGCCCAGCAAGCCUGGAGGAAACUCUGUGUGGGCGAGGCAACAGAAGCAGUCACUCCAGUGGGGGGCUUGGAGCCCCAGCGCCUUGCAAGUCAAGACGGGGAGUUUGGAUCCCAUCGUGGGGUCGCUGAAGGACUGAGAACAUUUGACACGGCCGGCUUCACUCCUCGGACGCAUCCCUCCCCCAGCCCUUUGGAGGAUGUACUGGAAGGCGGUGAGACCGUCGAGAAGGAGAACAUUCAUCUUAUUUCUGGAAAGGUCUUGGUAAUGCACAGAAGAAUCAGUUUGCUGAAAUCCAAGUAGGAAGUGAGAACACAAAUGCCCGACGUAGGUCGCCCUGUCCGUUCCGCAUCCUUCAAAUCUAUGUCAUUCGUUUCCUGGCGAAAAGAAAGGCGUGGUUUGUUCUGUAGUUCCUGGGAUCAGACAUCAGGAGGACACUGAUUCCUAUGAUUUUAUUACUGAAAGCAACAGCGCCAAAGGCAAGCUGGUUAGCAAUGAACAACCUCAAGCUGAUCCCAGACCUACCCAAUCAGAAUCUGCAAGGGAAGAAGAUCCCAGGUGACUCACAUGCACGAUAAAGUUUGAGGAACGCUGCUCCGGAAGCCAUCCUUCCGCUGGAAUUUCACAGGCGGGAUCCCGACUGAGGAAACGGGCCAUCCACCCACCGGAUUUUUCCAGCAGAAGUAUCAAGUAACUGAAUGUCUGUGCCUUAUGGCAACCCUUGAAAGGCCAAAGGAUACAGCCGAGCUAAGCCUAAGGCAAAGGGCUCUUAGACAGGACACCAAAAGCACAAUUUCCAAAAGAAACAUUUGGGAAAUUGGACUUGGUCAAAAUUUAAAACCCCUGCCCUGAAAAAGACCCUGCCUGGGGCACCCGGGUGGCUCAGUCGGUUAAUUAAGCGUCUGACUCGAUUUUCAACUCCGGUCAAAAUGAGUUCGAGCCCCACCUCGGGCUCUGCGCUGAUAGCCUGGAGCCUGCUUGGGAAUUCUCUCUCUCUCCCUCUCUCUGCCCCUCCCCCCGCUCGCUCACAUGCACGCACGCACCCAUCCUCCCUCUCUCUCACAAUAAAUCAAUGAACUUUAAAAAACA
This 1267-nucleotide long non-coding RNA is filed under the name Felis catus (domestic cat). RNAcentral's name for it is "lncRNA (ENSFCAG00000047648.1)". Lineage: Eukaryota; Metazoa; Chordata; Mammalia; Carnivora; Felidae. The record is from RNAcentral.